Molecule: long non-coding RNA, 561 nt
Organism: Drosophila arizonae
Lineage: Eukaryota; Metazoa; Arthropoda; Insecta; Diptera; Drosophilidae
Source: RefSeq, a predicted model, not a curated record
UUCUAUCUCAUUAAUCGAAUUGGCCGAAUUUAAGUAGACCAUUACGAAAUGCGAAUGGCAUGAAUAGAAGAAGAAGACUAAUUCGCGAAGACAAAGCAUAAGAUUGGUUCAGUUAAUUAAAUAAAGCCUUAAAAUACUAGCUAAAGGUUGGAUGCAUUGAGAGUCUAUUCAUCUAUGAUAAGCUAUAUCGCCCAACGAGAGGAAUCACUGGACCUGCGUACCAUUAGACUGCACCGCAAAUCCCCAGAGUACACAUAAGAAACCCGGAACAGGGCGUUGCCUUGUGGCUGUGGCUGUUUAAAUAGAGUCUCACAGCAGGUGCAUUGUGUUGUGGUCACCUGGCUAAGGUAUCUGCUUUUAAAAGUCUGCCUGCUAUCGAGUUACUCGAUGGCAGUAGCACUCGGAAAUGGGUUUUCCCACUGACACAGCCAGGCAGACGCCUCUCUCUCUCUCUCUCCCUCGCUCUUUGAGCAAUAAGCCACUUUGGAUCAUGAGCAACGACAAUGAUAUAUGUAUAGUAUAGUAUAGAAAUUAUAUUUUGAUGUGUCAAAUCUGAAUAAA